GGAAGACGUUUGUUUGAAACAGACCGCAAUGGAGAGACCAGCGCCCAGGGAAGCGAGGGGGCAGCAGGCUCCUUCCAGCAGCAGAUGGAGAUGUGAGCCUGGGACACAGGGAGCCUCCGAGACUGGCAUUGAUUCGGGCUCAGUUCAGGGAGAACCGGGGGCUGUUUGUAAGAGGCUGAGCGGAGCAGGAACCGGUCCCGGAACUUGGAGUGAGUGGUCUGGGGUGGAAGAGAGAGGCUUUUCUCGGGCUGUGUGUGGGCCUGCUGAGGGAGACACAGCCGAAAGAAGCUGCUGGGGGUUAUUCUUGUGGCUUUUCAUCCUCUAAACUGUGAUGGAAAUUCGUCGUUCGGCUUCUGUUUCACGCUGUUUUUAGACAUUGUGCCGUGAACAGUGGAAACACAGACUAGAGGAAUGUUAUAACCCUGAAAAGGACAGGCAAAUAGUUGAAGGACCAGGAUGUUGUUAUAUUUCCUCGGUACAAAGCCAAGUGUGACCAGCUGCUUCUAACAAACAGUAGGGCUUGACGUUCCUCUCAACCAUCCCUAGAGCACAAUCAUGUUAGUUUCCAAGUUCUUCUCUGUGGAUGCCAGUCACACGUGAGCAAAGUUUGGAAUACACGUUCAGACCAGAGACUGACCAAUCCAGAAUAAACACACAAUCAGAGACUGACAAAGGGAGAAAUGCAUCAAUCUUCACUUACAGGCCCUGACACCGAGGGCAUUAGAUAAAGACUCAUUUAUGUCGAGCAGCAGAGAUUGGAACAUUCAAACAAACUCCUGCAACUUCUAAAAGUGAUAUGUUCAUUUUAAAAUGAUACUCCUGCACUGUGAAAUACAAUGACAAAUAAUGAGGAGCAGAUUGACAGAUAAUGCCAGAUACUGAAUAAAUUCCAUGUUCACUGUCAGCCCGGUACUGAUGAAAGCUCCCUUGAUCCAUGCUCACAUUCUGGUCGAGAGAGUGACUCUUGCAGAAGCAUGUACACUCUUUCUCAAUGUAUGAAAAACUGAUUUACAGUACACACCUCAUGAAGAGUAUCAGAUCAUGACAUGCAGAGCUAGAAACACAAGGAGCCAUACAGAAACAGUCAGUGUGACAUGGAUCAGUACCAGUCUUUUAAAGUUAUACGGACCCAGAAGCAUGCAAGAAAACUCGCUCACAUUCAGUCAUUGAAUGAUGAAAGGAAAGGAAUGAAAUUUUCCUUACACAGAUUUCCAGAUAUGGACAAAUGUAAACUGACACUCAAACUCACCGAUCACAACAGGGAGGAGGUUAGUGUUAGAUGUUUGUUUGUUACAGUGCCCAGCAGUGACUGACAAAGUCUACUGUACACUCAAAUUAAAAAAAAACCCUGAGAUCGAAUGCAAUGAAAUUAAGCCUCAUGGUAAGGACAAAUGUCAAUGCAAAAUUAAUCCCUCAAUCACACAGGGUCAGUGAAUAUCUAAAGAGUUUAUGCUACAUUCAGACACAAAACCACAAAUGAACAUGGAAAGUGAAUGAAAUCCAUAUACUGUACCUGAGACUGUUGCAGACAUAACAAAGCUGGCAGAUAAAUACAGAACUAAUGUCAAAUUGGCACUAACAGAUAGCCACUGGCAGAGAGUGGAAGAAGUUCACAUUCCCAACAAUUACUGGAAACUAGUAUGCAGAAUAGAAUGUCCCAGUGCAAGCACAAUGGGCUGAAUGGUCUACUUCCGCACUGCAUCUUGAUUCUGAUCCUGGUUAUAAAGAAAAUGACAUUCCGUUGUAUAGAGUAUUAGUAUAAAAAUAUAAUGUAGAAAUAGACAGACAGGUGCAGAACGAAACUUUUAAUGAAAGAGCACUAACAAUGUCCAAUUCAAAAUGAAUCUAAAUGUCUCAUUGAUACUACGGAACCCUGAAAAAAAAAUCCCGUACUGACACCGAAAACCAGCAUCCGGUUCAUGCGGUAUAUAAAACCCACACUCAGCAUGCAAACUAGAAAAUGUGUUGUCGAUUUAGAAUGGUUCUCAGAGGAAAACAGUCCCACUUCUAUGACCCCUCCUAGAUCCUGCCAACUGAUAGUCAACUCAGAAGUCUCAAAAUGCGGAAGAGAUUAAUACCCAGUCUCAACACCCUAAUAGCUAUAUCAGAAUGUGUUGCAUUGUCACAGAGAAUAUUACUGGCUGCCAGAGAAUCAAGGCACAUUGAUACACAAGAGUGGAAAAUGACAGGUACAGAUUGAUACCUUUCCUGACUCAUUCACAUUCCAGAAACAGACAAAAGAAAACUGAUGAUGAAACUCACAUUCACAUGGUGGAAACUGAUAGGUACAGAUUUAUCAUGACACUCUCACAUUCAAACAGCAGAAACUGACAUGCAUGGACUGAUAAUUUGACUUGCCCAUUCACACAGCAGAAACUGUUUGGGAGAGAAUGGUAAAUGCAUUCACAUAUUCAAAACUCGGAAACUGACAGGUACAGGUUGAUGACUAAUAACUCUCAGAUUCAUAGAGCUGGAACUGACAGGGACAGAUGGGGAAAUGCACUCACACAUUUAUGUUGCAGAUACUGACAGGAAGAAUAAUGUUAUUACAUACAAAUUCACAGAAUAAAAACUGACUGGUACACAUUGAUAAAUGCGUUUGCACAUUCAAAACCAGAAACUGAUAGGUGGAAAUUGGUAGGUAAAAUCACACAUUCCCAGAGCAGAAUGAUUGAUUAUAACAGUCUUGGUUUCAAAUAACUGAUGGGGACAGAUUGGUAACUUCACUCACCGAUGCACAGAGCAGAAACUGACGGGCAUAGACCGAUAACUACACUCAUCUCCUGCCAUAGGUACUGAUUGACAAUGACAUGCACAUAUUCACAUAGAAGAAACUGACAGGUAUUCACUGAUAACUAAACUCAUGUAUUGACAUAACAGAAACUGUAAGGGAUAGACUGAGAAUUACACAAACAUAUUCACCAAGCAGAGGUUGACAGGUACAGAUUGAUAAUUACACAAACAUAUUCACACAGCAGUCUGAGAGGGAUAGACCGAUUGUUAAACUCACAUAUUGACAGAGCAGAAACUAACAGGCAGAAAUCGACAAUGAAACUCUCAUUCUUUUAGCUGACACUGACAGGUACAAAUUAAUAGCUACAUCUUCACAUUCACACAUUCACAAACCAGAAACUGACAGGUGCAGAAUAAUAACGACAUUGACAUAUUCACAUAGCAGAAACUGACAUGGACAGAAUAAAAAUAUCACUCCCAGGUUCAUUUGGCAUAAUCUGACCAGUACAGUUGGACAACUAAAUUCAUUUUCACAGAACAGAAUUUGCCAAUUAAAUAUUGAUAACUAUACUCCCAUAUUGACAGAGCAGAAACUGAUAGGCACAGAUUGAUAACUAAACUCACAUAUUCAAAAAGCAGAAUCUGACAGGUACAGAUCCAUAACUACACUCACAUAUUAACAUAUCAAUUACUAUCUGUUAGUUCCAGCUGACAACAUUCACAUAUUGACAUAGAAGUAACUGACAGAUAAAAAUUGAUAACUAUAUUUACAUAUUCCCAGACCUGAAACUGACAGGUACAGAGUGGUAAAUACACUCAUGCAUUCACAUAUUAGACUGACAGGGACAAAUUUAAAGCUACAUUUCACAGAGCACAAGGACAAGAACAGAUUGAUCACUACACUCAUGCAUUCACAUAGCAGGAACUAACAGGUACAGAUUGAUAAUUAAACUCAUGUUUUGAAGUAACAGAUGCUUGCAACUAGAGAUUAAUUACUACACCCUCAUAUGCACAGUGCAGAAACUGACAGGUAACUGAUAACUGCACUCAAACAUUC
Molecule: long non-coding RNA, 3790 nt
Organism: Rhincodon typus (whale shark)
Lineage: Eukaryota; Metazoa; Chordata; Chondrichthyes; Orectolobiformes; Rhincodontidae
Exons: 3
Source: RefSeq, a predicted model, not a curated record